UACGGAGGGUCCAAGCGUUAUCCGGAAUCAUUGGGUUUAAAGGGUCCGUAGGCGGUUUUGUAAGUCAGUGGUGAAAGCCCAUCGCUCAACGGUGGAACGGCCAUUGAUACUGCAAGACUUGAAUUACUAGGAAGUAACUAGAAUAUGUAGUGUAGCGGUGAAAUGCUUAGAUAUUACAUGGAAUACCAAUUGCGAAGGCAGGUUACUACUAGUGGAUUGACGCUGAUGGACGAAAGCGUGGGGAGCAAACAGG
This 253-nucleotide ribosomal RNA is filed under the name uncultured bacterium. RNAcentral describes it as "partial 16S ribosomal RNA". It matches the Rfam family "Bacterial small subunit ribosomal RNA", at positions 524 to 776 of the family's 1533-position model. The record is from RNAcentral.